RNAcentral lists this ribosomal RNA (414 nucleotides) under Micrathyria ocellata. RNAcentral describes it as "partial 12S ribosomal RNA". It matches the Rfam family "Microsporidia small subunit ribosomal RNA", at positions 752 to 1303 of the family's 1311-position model. The record is from RNAcentral. Lineage: Eukaryota; Metazoa; Arthropoda; Insecta; Odonata; Libellulidae.
UAUGACUAGGGUAGAAAUAGUUAUGUUCUUGAAACCCAAAGAAUUUGGCGGUAUUUUAUUCUUUUUAGAGGAACCUGUCCCUUAAUUGAUAACCCACGAUGGAGAUUUACUUGUUCUUGUAAUCAAUUUGUAUACCUCCGUCAUCAGAGUAUCUUUUUAAAGAAAAUAUUCUAAUUAUACAAAAUAUAACAUGUCAGGUCAAGGUGCAAUUUAUGUUCAAGUGGAGAUGGGUUACAAUAAAUUUAUUUACACGGAUUAUUAUUAUUAUUAAUAUUAUGAAGGUGGAUUUAAAAGUAAUUUUGUUUCCUUAAUGAUUUGAUUUUAGCUCUAAAAUAUGCACACAUCGCCCGUCGCUCUUAUUUUAAAAUAAGAUAAGUCGUAACAUAGUAGGUGUACCGGAAGGUGUACCUAGUA